GAUCCUGGCUCAGGAUGAACGCUGGCGGCGUGCCUAAUACAUGCAAGUAGAACGCUGAAGGAAGGAGCUUGCCCUUUCCGGAUGAGUUGCGAACGGGUGAGUAACGCGUAGGUAACCUGCCUGGUAGCGGGGGAUAACUAUUGGAAACGAUAGCUAAUACCGCAUAACAGUAGAUAUUGCAUGAUAUUUGCUUGAAAGGGGCAAUUGCUCCACUACCAGAUGGACCUGCGUUGUAUUAG
Molecule: ribosomal RNA, 239 nt
Filed under: uncultured bacterium
Lineage: Bacteria
Description: partial 16S ribosomal RNA
Rfam family: Bacterial small subunit ribosomal RNA
Source: RNAcentral